Molecule: small nucleolar RNA, 110 nt
Organism: Rhododendron vialii
Lineage: Eukaryota; Viridiplantae; Streptophyta; Magnoliopsida; Ericales; Ericaceae
Source: RefSeq, a predicted model, not a curated record
AGACCAUGAUGUGGAACCGAAGCGAGCAAAUCCUUGUACCGCUCCCAACCUUUAUAGAAUGUUUCCCCCUCUUUCUGUUUGAAGUUUUGAAUUUGUUCCUUGAGGAGUUU